GCCGGGCUAGCUCAAUCGGUAGAGCGUGCGGCUCUUAUCCAUGGAUGUCACCUUCUUUGUGUGACCGCAAGGCUGCGGGUUCGAUCCCCGCGUUCGGCU
This 99-nucleotide transfer RNA is filed under the name Blastomyces percursus. It matches the Rfam family "tRNA". Rfam says of the family: Transfer RNA (tRNA) molecules are approximately 80 nucleotides in length. Lineage: Eukaryota; Fungi; Ascomycota; Eurotiomycetes; Onygenales; Ajellomycetaceae. The record is from Rfam by way of RNAcentral.